This is a long non-coding RNA of Medicago truncatula (barrel medic), 1531 nucleotides long. RefSeq lists it as uncharacterized. The transcript is spliced from 3 exons. NCBI's taxonomy places the organism in Eukaryota, Viridiplantae, Streptophyta, Magnoliopsida, Fabales, Fabaceae. The record is from RefSeq and is a predicted model, not a curated record.
CCACUGAUGUGGCAGGGGUAGUUUGGUAAUUUCACGUGUUAGGGAUAGUUUGGUAGUUUUCACAAUCUCUUCCUCUUCUCUGUUCGCAGAUCCGUUCUGUCUCCAUCUCAAUCCCACUCUUCCAUCUCUCUCACACAACCGGACCUCUCUCUUUCUCCCUCAACCAACACAUGUUCUCAACUCACCCCAUGUCUCCUUCCCUAGUCUCCUCCCACUGCUCCGUCCCCUUUCAGCCACCGUCAAGUCACAGUAACCGUCGGCACACAGUCACCGUCGCGUCAGAGUCUCAAUCGCGACCUUGCUCCCUCGCUCAAAUCGUUGGAAAUCUCUGUCACAAUCCAGUCGAAAAUUGAAUCUCUCUGUUGAAGGAUAACUAAAAUCCAUCCAUCCAACUUUAUAUUGAAAUCAAUGACUAUCAUGCAAGUCUCUACCGAAAGUACAUGCUUUGAGUUUCUAUGGAAAUUUCCACUAGCAAUUGAAAUGUGUGAUGUUAGUAAUCUAGAAUUUAUCAUCUGCUUGGCUUUAAUAAGAUGCUUUAGCUUGUUGCAUAGAUGUUUGACUUUAAAAAUUGCUUAUUGAAAUACUUGUAUGUUUGAUAAAAACUGGCCAUUUGUUUAUUGGAUAUUUUGUUGUAUUAGCGUGGAAGAAACCCAAGACAGAGCACAAGCCUUGCCAUUGCAUAUCAAUUUUAUUACACAACAAUUGAAACUCAUCUUGCUUGAUGUUCUGAUAUUUAUGUAAUGGAUAGAGGCCUUGAGUGGUGGAAUUGGUUGGAAGAGUGAAAUGGCUAGUCCAUCUUUCUGUGUGUUUGAAUUAUAGUGUAUUAGUGUAUUGAUUUGGGACAGAUAAAUAACAUGGACUGAGACUGCUCGAAGAUCCAUUUUAUGAGCAGAUGGUUGUUGAGUUUUCCAAGUACCAAAUCUAAGUAAAUAUGUAUGCAUUCAGUGAUAAGGACACUGACAUAGCCUCCUUAGGAACUCUGGCAAAGUACACUGCUGGUCAAGUGUAUUACUAUCCAGCUUUCCAAUUAGCCAUUCAUGGGGAGAAAUUGAGUCAUGAAUUAAGGAGAAACCUCACAAGAGAGACUACAUGGGAAGCAUGGAUCAUAUGCAUUGCAGAGAUACUUAGUAACUAGUUAUCUAUGCUGGAUUGAUGGAGUUUCUCGGUGAUUAAUGAUGAUCUAGCUGUCUACAAGGCCAAAUAAAUUUGCAAAGCAUGGAUCACAAAUGGAAUAACACCUAUGUUUUUUCUGAGCAUGAGGAUUUAAUUUCUUGUAGAUAAUAUGCAUUGCUACAGUUAAUUUGAAAUGUUGUUAGGUGUUUCUAUAGAAUUGGUUUAUGCAAGGUAGAGGUUGAAGUAGCUUUGCAAACAAUGGUGUUAGUUUAAGUAUUUGUCUUGUGGUAUUUUAGCAUUACAUGUGUGCUAGAGGUUACUUCUAUAUGGUGUAUUAGCAUACUUGUAACCAUGUAUUAUUAGCUCAAAUUAAGAGCUUGUUUAAUGACAUACUUAGUAAACAGUCUCAAUCCGUAAA